This is a non-coding RNA of Paramisgurnus dabryanus, 1296 nucleotides long. Lineage: Eukaryota; Metazoa; Chordata; Actinopteri; Cypriniformes; Cobitidae. The record is from RefSeq and is a predicted model, not a curated record.
UUUAUUUUUAAGACAAAAUACAAGUGUAAUGUGUUAUGCUAAAUCAAUUUGUUAUUCACUCUGGUUUACCUAACUACCUAUCUUUAAACUAAAGUAAUUGGUUUACUUUUGCGAUAGAGAUAGACCUAUUAUCAGGUUCAUAUUCCGGAACAGAGGGGGCGGUAAUGCUCCAUUAAGCUGGUUGCCAACCGCCGGUAAAAAAGAAAGAAGAAGAAGAAGAAGAAUUUUUUUCAAACUAAAGGAUGUGACGUCAUUUUAACGACUUCCACGAAGACGGCGCGCAGGUGAUGGUGUGUCAUACCACAAUGACUUCUCCAGUCUGGCUAAAAGUUACAAAAGGUGAUCCUUCAGUAUGCCAUUCCUACUUCAGUGAGUCAAAGGACCUGUCAAAGGAAAUAGAAAAACAAUGUAAUCUACAAGGACAUUUAAGGCUGCAGUUCAUGGAUCUGACUUGGGCAAUUAGUUUUUAAAUCUCAUGUACACAUCUGAAAUUCAAGACAAAAGUACACUAAAGGUGGUAUUCCUGACAACACCAAGUAAUUGUGACAACUUGCCCCCACCACAACUGAACAGUUCUCAAAAGGAGUACCUGCUCAUAACCAGCUCUUUCACUUUCAUCCUGUGACACAGUAUUUUGUCAACCCCAUCUACAUCAUUAAGCUCUGACUGUGUUGCAAAAGUGUGUCUUGCCAAAUAUAUAACAAAACUGAGAAAAAUUGGCUGUAAUGAAGUGAAAUUAAAUUUACUCAAGCCCAAACCAGCUGGAAUUUCCAGUGCUGUUUACCAUAUAUAUAUAUAAAAAAAACAUGCAAUGCUGAGGUGAACUACUGCCCUUACCAUCCAUAAACGGAGACAUCCAAAACACUGGAAGAAGUCAGUUUAAUACUUCUGUCUGAAAUUAAAAAGAACAAUGAGAAAACAUUAUGAAUGCUGAUGGACAAGACCUUUUCUAUCAAGAGACAUGAGGUUGUCAAGGAAUCGCCUUCAAUAGCAGAUUUCAAAACUAGAUGGCCUGCUCUUUUCAGAAGGGAAGAGAUUUGUGCAGAGUUUAAAAGAAUCACAACAGCCCCAUUGGUGUCUACAUACUUGGCGAAGAUGAAUCCAUAUUCUGCAAAGCUUAUAAGGAUCUAUGCAAAACGAGGAGUCGUCAAUGGACAGAGAAUUAAAAACCUGCUGGUCUCCACAACACGGACUGACAACAUUGAUCAGACUCGGAUCUUUCUUUGUCUACCUGAAUGAAGACCCGACCAGUCUAAUUAAAGAGUAUUUGGAUACAGAUGCACCCAGUACCCAGGA